This 253-nucleotide ribosomal RNA is filed under the name uncultured bacterium. RNAcentral's name for it is "partial 16S ribosomal RNA". It matches the Rfam family "Bacterial small subunit ribosomal RNA", at positions 524 to 776 of the family's 1533-position model. The record is from RNAcentral.
UACGUAGGGAGCAAGCGUUGUCCGGAAUCAUUGGGCGUAAAGCGCGCGUAGGUGGCUUCGUAAGUCCGUUGUGAAAGUCAAAGGCUCAACCUUUGAAAGCCGAUGGAUACUGCGGAGCUAGAGUACGGAAGAGGCGAGUGGAAUUCCUGGUGUAGCGGUGGAAUGCGCAGAUAUCAGGAGGAACACCGGUGGCGAAGGCGGCUUCCUGGACCGACACUGACGCUGAGGCGCGAAAGCUAGGGGAGCAAACGGG